Centruroides sculpturatus (bark scorpion) is the source of this 635-nucleotide long non-coding RNA. RefSeq lists it as uncharacterized. The transcript is spliced from 3 exons. NCBI's taxonomy places the organism in Eukaryota, Metazoa, Arthropoda, Arachnida, Scorpiones, Buthidae. The record is from RefSeq and is a predicted model, not a curated record.
AACUCAUCCGAUAUAAAUAUAUUAAUUAAGCUAGGAGCCGGAAAAUCGAACGGCAAUGGUUUCUGUUGGAACAGCGAAAAUCAGUAAUAACAGUAGCAUCUGUCAUAUAUCCGUAGAUUGAAAUAUCUGUAUACGUCAUCUCAUCAAUUAGCCAAUAGGAUCGGCGGAUAUAGCCGACUAAUCAGAAAACUCCACAUGAACGAAGACGCGUGAAAGUCCGUGUAGGUUUAGGAAAGAGUAGAAGUAAAGAUAUUUGUCGGAUCGAAAAGUAAACAACGUUUUCUUUAAUAUCACCGAUAAAGAUUGCGCACUGUUGAGUUAUUUAUAGUAAAGUUUAUAUUUUUACUAAAACUUAAUAUAUUGUGUAAAUAAGAAUAAAAGUAUGGAAUUGGCUCAUACGAAGAGUUGGAAAGAAAUUACCGAGUAUUAUGGAACAGAUAUAGAAAGAGGAUUAUCAGAAGAACAAGUUCGGAAAUAUCAAGAGAAAUAUGGUCCAAAUGAAUUACCAGCCGAAGAGGGUAAGUUAAUUUCUUGUACAGUAUAUAAUAAUUUUAUUCAUAAAAGUAUUAGUAAAGAAUAUUCUAACAAAAAUUUUUCUAACUAUAAAAUAUCAUAUAUUAAAAAUAUUAAUAACU